RNAcentral lists this microRNA precursor (86 nucleotides) under Setaria italica (foxtail millet). RNAcentral's name for it is "mir-395 microRNA precursor family". It matches the Rfam family "mir-395 microRNA precursor family". Rfam says of the family: mir-395 was identified in both Arabidopsis thaliana and Oryza sativa computationally and was later experimentally verified. mir-395 is thought to target mRNAs coding for ATP sulphurylases. The mature sequence is excised from the 3' arm of the hairpin. The record is from Rfam by way of RNAcentral. Lineage: Eukaryota; Viridiplantae; Streptophyta; Magnoliopsida; Poales; Poaceae.
GUGUCACUAGGAGUUCCCUGAAAACACUUCGCGAGGCAUCAUCUUAAGAUCUCUUGUGAAGUGUUUGGGGGAACUCUUGGUGUCAC